RNAcentral lists this long non-coding RNA (1280 nucleotides) under Ananas comosus (pineapple). RNAcentral's name for it is "long non-coding RNA (ACOM_LNC034069)". Lineage: Eukaryota; Viridiplantae; Streptophyta; Magnoliopsida; Poales; Bromeliaceae. The record is from RNAcentral.
GGUGGUAGCUCUUUCCUUCAUGUGGUUCCACUUUGAAGCUUCAGAACCUGAUUUUUUAUGCAUUUGGCUGCUAAAACUCUAAAAUUUUCGCUUAAACUCCAAGGUAUCAUUUGGUUCGGGUAUAAGCUAGAACCGUUUAUUCCAGGGAUAGGUAUAAAUGCUGGAACAAGCUGGAACUAUUGUGGUUUUGUAUUUGGAUGAGUAUUAGGUUUGUACCAGGUAUAAGAAAAAUAGUGUUUGGAUAUAUAAGAUAGAAUAAGGAGAAUAAAUGUCACGCCCCGGGGUCCCCCUUCUUUUUUUUUUUUUUUUUUUAAGGCAUAGCGGAAAAGCGUCUGAAAUUUUUUUUUGAAAACCUGACCCCAGGGUAUGCCAGAUCUGCCACAAAUACAGGAGGUCCACUGUUCACACGGACAGAGUCUCCCCUGUAUUUGCACGGCGUCGCACAAGUACAAGAGUUCAAACAUGAUACAACCACAACCAGAUGAACAUACAAAUAACCACAGUUAUAUAUUCAUACACCAUUCACCACAGAUUCAUAUUUUUUUCAUUCAAUAUUUAAACAUAAAUUCACAUCUAUCAGUUAAAAUAUUUCCAACUCAGAAACAGGUUUUGAAAUACUAAGAAGCAAAAUCCACAGAAAACCUUUUGAAAACUGUUUCCUACACGGGAACUUUUCUCUUUUAAAAACGCUACCACGAGGGGUAGAAAACCUUUUAUUUUCCAAAAUCCAGAAAUCCGUUUAUUACAUUCACGAAAAUUCAUAUUUUCAAAUGUAAUAAAAAUACUGAACCAUAUAACUAUCUAAGCUAUAACAACAGAAAUAAUAUGGGUAAAAGCUAAACUGAGUAAUCUGGGUCGGAAGCUCUAUCGACCGCUACGAACGUACCUCACGUCUCGUCCCAAAACUCAUCGCCCGCAAUACCUGAAAAAUGGUGGGGGAGGUGAGAACAUGUAAACAUGUCUCCCCUCCCAGUGGGUACCGCAAGCGGAAGAAGACGAGGAGUACUCACCGGAUCAGAAAGAGCUAUACAACAACACGGGUCAGUGGAAAUACAGUAGGAAAAAUAAUAAACAAAAGAGAUGUAUAAGAUAAUGAGCAGAUAUACUAAAUACAGUAGCAAUAAACUGAAAGAAAGUAAGAACCAGACUGAAUAACGGCUACCGCUACUGUAACUAGAACCGAAAGCAUACAUAAAUAUCUACUAUAGCAGCAAGACAACUAUAAAGUAAGAACUGUAAGUAUGCAUGCAACGACUGCUACUAUAGACAUAUGCGUCAAC